RNAcentral lists this ribosomal RNA (701 nucleotides) under uncultured bacterium. RNAcentral describes it as "bacterial SSU rRNA". It matches the Rfam family "Bacterial small subunit ribosomal RNA", at positions 139 to 851 of the family's 1533-position model. The record is from RNAcentral.
CGGGAUACCCGAGGGAAACUUCGGUUAAUACGGUAUAAGACCACACUACCGCAUGGUAGAGGGGUAAAAGGGGCAACCUGGUAUGAGAUGGACUCGCGUCGCAUUAGCUAGUUGGUGAGGUAACGGCCCACCAAGGCGACGAUGCGUAGCCGACCUGAGAGGGUGAUCGGCCACAUUGGGACUGAGAUACGGCCCAGACUCCUACGGGAGGCAGUAGUGGGGAAUAUUGGGCAAUGGAGGAAACUCUGACCCAGCAAUGCCGCGUGAAUGAAGAAGGUCUUCGGAUUGUAAAGUUCUUUAGUCAGGGAAGAAGUCAAUGACGGUACCUGAAAAAUAAGCUCCGGCUAACUACGUGCCAGCAGCCGCGGUAAUACGUAGGGAGCAAGCGUUGUUCGGAAUGACUGGGCGUAAAGGGUGCGUAGGCGGUUGUACAAGUUAGAAGUGAAAUACCCAGGGCUUAACUCGGGUGCUGCUUCUAAAACUGUAUGACUUGAGUGCAGUAGAGGUUAGUGGAAUUCCUAGUGUAGCGGUGGAAUGCGUAGAUAUUAGGAGGAACACCAGAGGCGAAGGCGGCUAACUGGACUGCAACUGACGCUGAGGCACGAAAGUGUGGGGAGCAAACAGGAUUAGAUACCCUGGUAGUCCACACUGUAAACGAUGGAUACUAGAUGUAGGAGGUAUCGACUCCUUCUGCGUCGCAG